GAUCAACUGCCCAGCAGACGAUUAUACCACCCCCAGCCCCCGCUGCAGCUCCCGUUCCAGCGCAGCCAGGGGAAAUUUGGACACAGACACAGGAAGGAUGCCAUGUGAAGAGACACAGGGAGCAGAUGGCCAUCUGCAAGCUGAGGAACACCUGAGGUGACCAGAAGCUCGGGGAGAGGCCUGGAAUGGAUCCUUUCGUAGAGCCUUCGGAGGGCGCAUGGCACAAGUAACCCUUUGAUUUCAGACUUCUGACCCCCAGGACCUUGAGACAACAAAUGUCUGUCAUUCUAAGCCACCUAUUUGUGGCACUUUGUUGUGGCAGCCCUAAGAAACGAACACAUCUCCGUUAGACAUUGUCCAAGAAAGCAGCCUAGAUGCUCCCACUGAAUCCUCCCCUCCAUCGCCGCCUCUACCCUCUGCCUGCAGCUGUAUCCUGUAAACCACCGAACUCCGUCCAUUCCCCCUGCAGGACACCUUUGCCAGGAACCCACUUGUCUUCAUUCCUGCUGCUGCCACCUAGGAGCAGGCCACCAUUAUUUCACCAGAAUCCUUCCUCGCUGCUGUCCUAUCUCCAAUAACAUCUGCUGCCUAUCUGUUCCUCGAAUUGCAUCCAGAAUCAUCUUUCAACAUACAAAUCUGAGAUGCUUCUUCCCUGCUUAAACCCUCUGACACUCCUCCUUCCUCUGAGGAUGAAGUUUAGCCCUCCUGACGGGCUCAAAAGGCACAGGACCUCAAUGACUUUGCCUACACGUGAAAGAGUGAAAAGCAAGUCUGCGAUCCCUUUUUGCGGUCAGGGAAGGGAUGACACACCCAGAGAUGCUGCUCUGCGGCUCAGGAUGUUCCUUGGAGAUCCGAGUUCCAUUCGCUCCUGAGGUUAAGACUUGUUACUGCUUCGGGGCCACCAGCUAAACACUUGACAUUUCUGCUGAGGCUGAACAUCUGGAUAAUAACAGCUGGGAUCACACUGCAUCUCCCUCUCCCAAAUAAACCCUGACAAUUCUCAGGAGAACACAGGCGAGUGAGUGAGUGGUUGUCUAAUGCCCUUCGAAUGUCCUCCGCUUUCUCCGCUUACCCUUUAUCAUUCUGAAAUCUCUCCAGCUCUAAUUUAAUUUCAUGCCCUCUCAUUAGUCUUUUCAGACAUAAAGAAUAAUUUGUCUAUAUCUCCUGCAUAAAAUCAUUGCCUAUACUCGAAGGCAAGAAUUAAAC
RNAcentral lists this long non-coding RNA (1206 nucleotides) under Equus caballus (horse). RNAcentral's name for it is "lncRNA (ENSECAG00000045210.1)". The record is from RNAcentral. Lineage: Eukaryota; Metazoa; Chordata; Mammalia; Perissodactyla; Equidae.